This 495-nucleotide ribosomal RNA is filed under the name uncultured bacterium. RNAcentral describes it as "partial 16S ribosomal RNA". It matches the Rfam family "Bacterial small subunit ribosomal RNA", at positions 28 to 507 of the family's 1533-position model. The record is from RNAcentral.
GACGAACGCUGGCGGCGUGCCUAAUACAUGCGAGUAGAACGCUGAAGGAGGAGCUUGCUUCUCUGGAUGAGUUGCGAACGGGUGAGUAACGCGUAGGUAACCUGCCUGGUAGCGGGGGAUAACUAUUGGAAACGAUAGCUAAUACCGCAUAAGAUUGACUAUUGCAUGAUAGUCAGUUAAAAAGUGCAAUUGCAUCACUACCAGAUGGACCUGCGUUGUAUUAGCUAGUUGGUGGGGUGACGGCUCACCAAGGCGACGAUACAUAGCCGACCUGAGAGGGUGAUCGGCCACACUGGGACUGAGACACGGCCCAGACUCCUACGGGAGGCAGCAGUAGGGAAUCUUCGGCAAUGGACGGAAGUCUGACCGAGCAACGCCGCGUGAGUGAAGAAGGUUUUCGGAUCGUAAAGCUCUGUUGUAAGAGAAGAACGAGUGUGAGAGUGGAAAGUUCACACUGUGACGGUAUCUUACCAGAAAGGGACGGCUAACUACGUG